GAAAAAUUAGUUAAAUCAUAAUAUUAGUCUGUCACGCUGAAGUUGUCUUAUGGACAUUUUUCU
This 63-nucleotide transfer RNA is filed under the name Panulirus longipes. Its description in RNAcentral is "tRNA-Asp". Lineage: Eukaryota; Metazoa; Arthropoda; Malacostraca; Decapoda; Palinuridae. The record is from RNAcentral.